RNAcentral lists this ribosomal RNA (62 nucleotides) under Trichoderma harzianum. RNAcentral's name for it is "partial 28S ribosomal RNA". Lineage: Eukaryota; Fungi; Ascomycota; Sordariomycetes; Hypocreales; Hypocreaceae. The record is from RNAcentral.
GUUGACCUCGGAUCAGGUAGGAAUACCCGCUGAACUUAAGCAUAUCAAUAAGGCAGGAGGAA